This 207-nucleotide ribosomal RNA is filed under the name uncultured bacterium. RNAcentral describes it as "partial 16S ribosomal RNA". It matches the Rfam family "Bacterial small subunit ribosomal RNA", at positions 568 to 774 of the family's 1533-position model. The record is from RNAcentral.
UAUGUAGGCGGUUCGGAAAGUCAGGUGUGAAAGCCCGGGGCUCAACCCCGGAACUGCACCCGAUACUCCCGAACUGGAGUAAUGGAGGGGUAGCUGGAAUUCUCGGUGUAGCAGUGAAAUGCGUAGAUAUCGAGAGGAACACUCGUGGCGAAGGCGAGCUACUGGACAUUUACUGACGCUGAGAUACGAAGGCCAGGGUAGCGAAAG